CAACCCUCGAACCCCUCCGGGGGUCGGCGUUGGGGAUCGGCCCUCCCUUAGCGGGUGGCCGUCUCCGAAAUACAGUGGCGGUCUCGCCGCAGCCUCUCCUGCGCAGUAGUUUGCACACUCGCAUCGGGAGCGCGGCGCGUCCACAGCCGUUAAACACCCAACUUCUGAAAUG
RNAcentral lists this unclassified non-coding RNA (172 nucleotides) under uncultured Trichoderma. Its description in RNAcentral is "sequence contains ITS2". Lineage: Eukaryota; Fungi; Ascomycota; Sordariomycetes; Hypocreales; Hypocreaceae. The record is from RNAcentral.